Ribosomal RNA from Macadamia integrifolia, 156 nucleotides. RefSeq annotates it as 5.8S ribosomal RNA. The transcript has a single exon. The record is from RefSeq and is a predicted model, not a curated record. NCBI's taxonomy places the organism in Eukaryota, Viridiplantae, Streptophyta, Magnoliopsida, Proteales, Proteaceae.
AACUCUCAGCAAUGGAUAUCUUGGCUCUUGCAUCAAUUAAGAACGUAGAGAAAUGUGAUACUUGGUGUGAAUUGCAGAAUUGCGUGAACAAUCGAGUCUUUGAAUGCAAGUUGCACCCUAGGCCAUCGGGCUGAGGGCACGCCUACCUGGGCAUCA